UCCUGGCUCAGGAUGAACGCUAGCGGCAGGCUUAACACAUGCAAGUCGAGGGGCAUCGGGAGUAGCAAUACUUGCCGGCGACCGGCGCAAGGGUGCGUAACGCGUGAGCAACAUGCCCGUAUCAGGGGGAUAAUCCAUGGAAACGUGGUCUAAUACCCCAUAGUAAUUAUGUAAGGCAUCUUAUAUAAUUUAAAGCUUUGGUGGAUACGGAUUGGCUCGCGUGACAUUAGCUAGAUGGUAAGGUAACGGCUUACCAUGGCUACGAUGUCUAGGGGUUCUGAGAGGAAGGUCCCCCCACACUGGAACUGAGACACGGUCCAGACUCCUACGGGAGGCAGCAGUGAGGAAUAUUGGACAAUGGAUGGAAAUCUGAUCCAGCCAUGCCGCGUGCAGGAAAGACGGCCCUAUGGGUUGUAAACUGCUUUUGUAUGGGAGCAAUAAGGGCUACGCGUAGUCCGAUGAGAGUACCAUACGAAUAAGCACCGGCUAACUCCGUGCCAGCCGCUGC
This 508-nucleotide ribosomal RNA is filed under the name uncultured bacterium. RNAcentral's name for it is "bacterial SSU rRNA". It matches the Rfam family "Bacterial small subunit ribosomal RNA", at positions 17 to 518 of the family's 1533-position model. The record is from RNAcentral.